Molecule: ribosomal RNA, 784 nt
Filed under: uncultured methanogenic archaeon
Lineage: Archaea; Methanobacteriati; Methanobacteriota
Description: bacterial SSU rRNA
Rfam family: Archaeal small subunit ribosomal RNA
Source: RNAcentral
GNUUCAAAGUUCCGGCGCUUUAGGAUCGGUCUGCGGCCUAUCAGGUAGUAGUGGGUGUAAUGUACCCCCUAGCCUAUUACGGGUAUGGGCCUUGAGAGAGGGAGCCCAGAGUUGGAUUCUGAGACACGAAUCCAGGCCCUACGGGGCGCAGCAGUCGCGAAAACUUCACAAUGGGCGAAAGCCCGAUGAGGGAAUUCCUAGUGCUAGCACUUUUGUGUUAGCUUUUCUUUAGCGUAGAUAACUAGAGGAAUAAGGGCUGGGUAAGACGGGUGCCAGCCGCCGCGGUAAUACCCGCAGCCCGAGUGGUGGUCGAUUUUAUUGAGUCUAAAACGUUCGUAGCCGGUCUGAUAGAUCCUUGGGUAAAUCGGGGGGCUUAACCUUCCGAAUUCCGAGGAGACCGUCAGGCUUGGGAUCGGGAGAGGUAAGAGGUACUUCAGGGGUAGGGGUAAAAUCCUGUAAUCCUUGGAGGACCACCGGUGGCGAAGGCGUCUUACUAGAACGAAUCCGACGGUGAGGGACGAAGCCCUAGGUCGCAAACGGGAUUAGAUACCCCGGUAGUCUAGGGUGUAAACGCUGCAGACUUGGUGUUGGAGGCCCUUCGGGGGCAUUCAGUGCCGGAGAGAAGUUGUUAAGUCUGCUACUUGGGGAGUACGUCCGCAAGGAUGAAACUUAAAGGAAUUGGCGGGGGAGCACCGCAACGGGAGGAGCGUGCGGUUUAAUUGGAUUCAACACCGGAAAACUCACCAAGGGAGACCAUCACAUGAAAAGCCAGGCUAAUGACUUU